Oncorhynchus kisutch (coho salmon) is the source of this 2449-nucleotide long non-coding RNA. Lineage: Eukaryota; Metazoa; Chordata; Actinopteri; Salmoniformes; Salmonidae. The record is from Ensembl.
ACCACAGAAGCCAAUAGGGAGGGAUGGAGAGAGGGAGGGAGAGGAGGAGUAGUGGGCGUAAACAAUGGAUUUGGGGGCUGAUGAGGUCAGACAGCCUUCUGUAAAUGUAUGAGGACUACCAGGUCCUGUUGACAACAGCUGCAGAACAUCAGUAUCUCCAAUUCUGAAUGAGAGCAUGGAGCGGAGAGCAUGAGAAAAGAUGAUAAAAAGUCUUCUCCAAGCAGCCCUGAUGUGGUCUCAAUGAAGAAAGAGAGAGGAGCCACUUACCUGUAUCUCAAAACACUAUCUGGAUUUUGGGAGGCAGAGAACAAGAGAGGAGAGGGAGGAAUGGAGAGAGGGAUUAGAAACUAAUCCAGGACACGGCCAAUCCCAGAGGAGCUCCUUUUCUUCCAAGACACAGACACAACAGUCGCACGGAUUACUGCACUUUAGUGUAUUGCCUUUAAAAAAAAGAAGCAUUAUCCCUUUUGUAUAGUGUUUCAUUGUCCCUAAAUGCCUGGUGUCCCGGGCCUGUGGUAAAUGUGCUGAAUUCUACAACAAAGGAUAAAAGAGGACAACAGUCCCGGUGAGAGGGGAGCGAAGUGACAGGAUGUCCCAUGGACUAUGUGGUGACACACGCAGAUAAAGCGCUUUAGUGGAGACGACAUGUGUGAACAGACCCCCUGCUCUUUCUGCUGGGUCUCAGAGGGACUGAAAGCUGAACACCCCUGUGGACGGUACAUUCAAGAUCAAACUUCUAUGAGUGAAUACUAAAACGACUGAGUGGCUAGUGAGUGACAGGUUGGAGAUAUUUUAGUUGUUGAUUACAGAGGAGAAUAAGGUGAGGUUGCUUUCAAAGCAGGAUUACAAAUUAGUUUCUGGAAAAACAUACUGUAUCUGAAGGGAAGAAGGAGUUGAUUGAGGAGACUUGCGGCAGCCUAGAAACCUCUAUCAUUAACUGGGAGGAUCUGAGUUCAUGUGUGUAGGUGCAUUAGAGAAGAUUAUUAGCUGCCAAUCAAAGGUGUCAGCCUAUUGAGUCACUUCUCAAUAAGCCAUAUCUAAAGUGACCUGGUUGGUGAGAGUUGUUGUCUUGGUGUUGUGUUGGUGUUGAAACCUGUAGUGGUGAGAAGAGAAAGCGCUGGGUGAGAGUGAGGUGGUAAUAAAGGUUGUUUUAAAGCUGACAUAAUCCCAUUACAGUUUCUUAACAAGUUAUUUAUAAUCUCCAACAAGUUUAUUGGACAGAGCACACAGGGCCAAGCAGCUUAAACAUAACCACUUUCAGAUGUAUAACACUGCCUGACUCCUAUCUACUGUACUGUGCCAAGUCAAGAAUGAAUUUGAACUAGGUUUACAGAAAACUAAAUAUUUAUUCUCAUUUUACGAGGAUCUCGUAAACCUCUGGCAAGGUGAUUAGUGUCUAGACGGGUGGGAUGUUCGUUAACUGUUUGUAAACAAGACAUUGGAUGGUUUUCACAGAAAGGGGUCUCUAGGUAACACUGCUGGCUGUCCAGCUUUGACAAAAGAUAUUGGUGCUCAUUUUAAAGGUAGGUAUAGACUUCAGUUUGGACUGAUCCUAAAAAGACAAGAACAAGAAUAUUUUGUAAAGCCUCAUUGCUUAACUUUGAGAGGGAAGUUUAAGGACCUGUAUAUUUUUGUUGCUGAAGGGAAAGGUGCAUUUAAAUGACCUAAUUAUAGAAAUUGCUGUGCACAUCUAAGAUUGAUUUAGCUCUAGAAACGUUCACAGGAAUGAGCUUGCCAACAGAGAGAGCAUCAUAGUUAUAUUGUUAGUGUUCACAAGCAGAAACACAAGUUCAAAAUAACAGUCAGGCAAUACUCCAAUCCACAAAGAGUGAAAUGUAUUUUGUCUGAUGGACAGAAUAUGAGCAUCUCUUGGUAUUCUCUCACUCUUUCACUGCACAAAUACUGGAUGAGUUAUGUUUCACUGUCAGUAUAUAUUUGGAGCCGCAACUGGAUAUAUUUUCUGAACUGACAUUCAAAAACCCACCGUCUGGGAAAAGAACAGUGGAUCCCAAGCUCUCAGACCACAUAGGCUGUGGUUAUUCCAGAAUCCCUGGGAUGUGUCAUUCCUCUUCUUUUUAUUCCUCAUGACUGAAAGCUGCUGGGAAGGAGGACAGGAUUUCUUUGAGGCUGGAGUCAUUCUAAAGCACAGAAUUGAUCCUGAGAUAGAAAGCUUUGGAUGUUGACUGACCCCAUAGAUAACCCAUCAUUCAGCUGAAAACUUCAGUGGGACUUCCUAAAGCCAAACUGCAGGCUUACGCUCGAUGAAUAGCUGGCACUUGCUGCCGUGUGGAGAAUGUAUUCUACACACAUUCUCAGCACAUCAUUUGUGUUUUUCUUUUUUUUAAGGAUCCAGAAAGUUGUUUAAGUGUCUUUUAACACUCAUUUUACUUUGGAAAAGUUGACUGAUUUCUUACUGGAUUUUUUAUCCCCCUGAUUAAUUAUAUUUUAA